AAAUAGUUAAGGACAUUUAUUUCUGUUCAUACAACAAAUAUACAGUUUAUAUUCCUGACAACAAUGGUGCAGAAUAUGAGAGGAAGAUUUGUCAGGCAGAGAACAAAAUUGAUUGUGUAGACAGAGUGAUCAGUAAAAUUUCAAAUGGUAAGUAAAUAUCAAACAUGAAUCAAUAAAGAUUUCCUUCAAUUAGUAAUUCUUUUCUUAUUUACACUGUUAGGAUGCAUUUAUGUGCUGUCAACCCUUAACUGUGUGUUAAGGUUUGGUGCCUGGUGCCAUCAGUGUCACUGAGCUGGACCUCCUGGCCACUUGUGGUGCUGCUGGAUCAGCUGUGUCCAAAGCACUCAGUGUUUGUUUCACUGGAGGAGGGGAGCACUGCUGGGCUCCUGUGAGCAUAACCACUGCACCCUUUCCUUAUCCAUUUUCAGUGUCACAGGGAGGUUUUUCCUAUUAGAAAAUAGGAAAUGUAAAGUACAGACUAAUCAGAUUGCAAAGAAUCCUUCUAAGUGGUUAGUGAUAGAGGUGAAGAAACCUCAUGGUUUAUCAAUCAGAAGAAAAAAUCAAAUUAAUAAAUACUUAAUUUCAUGGUGGUAGGGUGGGGUGAACCAAUGAAAGGGAACUGGGGGAUUACAGGAUGAUCUUGAUAGCUGCAGCCUCUGGAGAAGACUCUCUUCAAACAAGAAUUUGAAGGAGCUGGAGGAUCUCUUCAAACAAGAUCCUGCAGAGGCUCCACUUGUUUCUCCCAGGAAUGACUGUGUGAUAAGCACUUGUCUUGGAAGGGGCUCAAGAAUGAUGCAGUAGAUGGCAGAAUGGCCCUGCAGUCCUUUUUCUGCACAGAAGACUGGAGACUCACAGAUAUGCAGUGUGCCUUCUUAUCACAAACAGUACAUUCUGAUCCUGGUGUUUAGGAUUUGCACUGAGCAGCUUCUCUGUUGCUUUCCCUGGUGUUAUGUAGUGGCAGACAAAGCUGUUCAACAGACAAAGUGUUCACUGAGAAAUUAUGGUUGUCCUGUCAGCACUGUCCCCUGCAACUUGAUCUCAUCCUACAAACAUCUUUUAUUGAGGGCACUGGGACUAUUCUUGCAUAGAUGCUUGCAGGAUUGUAGUACACAACACUAUUAAUUAAAACCUUUCUACUUCCUCAAACUUUUCUAGUAUGCUGAGAUACUGGAUUCAAUGAUCUAACAAAUAUCCUCAAACACAAAGCAAAAUAGGAUAUUUACUUCCAUUAUAAUAAUCUCUUGUUUGAAGACCACUGUGUUCCCCUCUGUUCACAAAAAUAAGCUAUAUAAAGUUAAAAGAGUAUACAAAUAACUGUCUGAUAUACACAUUAAAACCUAGCUAUUAAAUCCAGAGCAUUGCUAUAGAAAAUUCAGUGUUCUCAAUAUUACCUGGCAUUAGCUACAGUGGAUUUCUUGCAGUUACACUUAAUAUCCCUUUGGAUGCAGGUAAAUUCCUCCCUCAUGAUUAAAGAAUGGGGGAAGUGUUUUAAAAUCCACAAAAGCAAAAUAUAAAAACAAUUUGAACAAAUUAAGAGACUAGAGAUAUGAAAUUUCACUGAACCAGCCAGUGCUUCUAUUUGCCUUUGCCCUCACAAUCAGUUCUGAACCUGGCUCAGGCUUUCCACAGGAACAAUGAAGUGCAGUGAUACCUCCCCUCCCCCAGCCAUUUGCUCACUGGGUCAAUACAGAGAACUGACAUCUCACUCUCAGUUUAGUCAGGUUGUGUUGCUCAUUUAAGCAUUACAAAGUCAGAGAUGUAACUUCUCUCUCAAAUAUUUGUGAUACCUUGGGGUACUUUUAAUCACGAAGUACAAUCAUCCUUUCUUGACUUGUGAAAUACAGCUUCCAGAGGGCCCUGAUCUGCAUUACUGAUGUAUGCAUAAAGUGAUUCACUGUUGUAAACUUGAAAAUCAAUAAGGAAUUAGCUUCAAGCAUUUGUUCUUCCCAACAUUACUGUCUUAGUUUAUGUUAACUGCAAUCAGAAUGGUUUAAUAAUGGACCUCUGCUGUAGAGAGACUUGCAGGUU
Molecule: long non-coding RNA, 2028 nt
Organism: Zonotrichia albicollis (white-throated sparrow)
Lineage: Eukaryota; Metazoa; Chordata; Aves; Passeriformes; Passerellidae
Source: Ensembl